GAUGAACGCUGGCGGCGUGCCUAAUACAUGCAAGUCGAGCGAACGGACGAGAAGCUUGCUUCUCUGAUGUUAGCGGCGGACGGGUGGGUAACACGUGGAUAACCUACCUAUAAGACUGGGAUAACUUCGGGAAACCGGAGCUAAUACCGGAUAAUAUUUUGAACCGCAUGGUUCAAAAGUGAAAGACGGUCUUGCUGUCACUUAUAGAUGGAUCCGCGCUGCAUUAGCUAGUUGGUAAGGUAACGGCUUACCAAGGCAACGAUGCAUAGCCGACCUGAGAGGGUGAUCGGCCACACUGGAACUGAGACACGGUCCAGACUCCUACGGGAGGCAGCAGUAGGGAAUCUUCCGCAAUGGGCGAAAGCCUGACGGAGCAACGCCGCGUGAGUGAUGAAGGUCUUCGGAUCGUAAAACUCUGUUAUUAGGGAAGAACAUAUGUGUAAGUAACUGUGCACAUCUUGACGGUACCUAAUCAGAAAGCCACGGCUAACUACGUGCCAGCAGCCGCGGUAAUACGUAGGUGGCAAGCGUUAUCCGGAAUUAUUGGGCGUAAAGCGCGCGUAGCGGUUUUUUAAGUCUGAUGUGAAAGCCCACGGCUCAACCGUGGAGGGUCAUUGGAAACUGGAAAACUUGAGUGCAGAAGAGGAAAGUGGAAUUCCAUGUGUAGCGGUGAAAUGCGCAGAGAUAUGGAGGAACACCAGUGGCGAAGGCGACUUUCUGGUCUGUAACUGACGCUGAUGUGCGAAAGCGUGGGGAUCAAACAGGAUUAGAUACCCUGGUAGUCCACGCCGUAAACGAUGAGUGCUAAGUGUUAGGGGGUUUCCGCCCCUUAGUGCUGCAGCUAACGCAUUAAGCACUCCGCCUGGGGAGUACGACCGCAAGGUUGAAACUCAAAGGAAUUGACGGGGACCCGCACAAGCGGUGGAGCAUGUGGUUUAAUUCGAAGCAACGCGAAGAACCUUACCAAAUCUUGACAUCCUUUGACAACUCUAGAGAUAGAGCCUUCCCCUUCGGGGGACAAAGUGACAGGUGGUGCAUGGUUGUCGUCAGCUCGUGUCGUGAGAUGUUGGGUUAAGUCCCGCAACGAGCGCAACCCUUAAGCUUAGUUGCCAUCAUUAAGUUGGGCACUCUAAGUUGACUGCCGGUGACAAACCGGAGGAAGGUGGGGAUGACGUCAAAUCAUCAUGCCCCUUAUGAUUUGGGCUACACACGUGCUACAAUGGACAAUACAAAGGGCAGCGAAACCGCGAGGUCAAGCAAAUCCCAUAAAGUUGUUCUCAGUUCGGAUUGUAGUCUGCAACUCGACUACAUGAAGCUGGAAUCGCUAGUAAUCGUAGAUCAGCAUGCUACGGUGAAUACGUUCCCGGGUCU
RNAcentral lists this ribosomal RNA (1371 nucleotides) under uncultured bacterium. Its description in RNAcentral is "bacterial SSU rRNA". It matches the Rfam family "Bacterial small subunit ribosomal RNA", at positions 28 to 1381 of the family's 1533-position model. The record is from RNAcentral.